UACGUAGGUGGCAAGCGUUGUCCGGAUUUACUGGGCGUAAAGAGCGCGCAGGCGGUCGUUCAAGUCGCGUGUGAAAGCCCCCGGCUCAACUGGGGAGGGUCACGCGAUACUGAUCGACUCGAAGGCAGGAGAGGGUAGUGGAAUUCCCGGUGUAGUGGUGAAAUACGUAGAUAUCCGGAAGAACACCGGUGGCGAAGGCGGCCUGCUGGGAUCUUGCUGACGCUGAGGCGCGACAGCGUGGGGAGCAAACAGG
Molecule: ribosomal RNA, 253 nt
Filed under: uncultured bacterium
Lineage: Bacteria
Description: partial 16S ribosomal RNA
Rfam family: Bacterial small subunit ribosomal RNA
Source: RNAcentral